RNAcentral lists this ribosomal RNA (1160 nucleotides) under Escherichia coli. RNAcentral describes it as "partial 23S ribosomal RNA". It matches the Rfam family "Bacterial large subunit ribosomal RNA", at positions 584 to 1746 of the family's 2925-position model. The record is from RNAcentral. Lineage: Bacteria; Pseudomonadati; Pseudomonadota; Gammaproteobacteria; Enterobacterales; Enterobacteriaceae.
CUUAGGCGUGUGACUGCGUACCUUUUGUAUAAUGGGUCAGCGACUUAUAUUCUGUAGCAAGGUUAACCGAAUAGGGGAGCCGAAGGGAAACCGAGUCUUAACUGGGCGUUAAGUUGCAGGGUAUAGACCCGAAACCCGGUGAUCUAGCCAUGGGCAGGUUGAAGGUUGGGUAACACUAACUGGAGGACCGAACCGACUAAUGUUGAAAAAUUAGCGGAUGACUUGUGGCUGGGGGUGAAAGGCCAAUCAAACCGGGAGAUAGCUGGUUCUCCCCGAAAGCUAUUUAGGUAGCGCCUCGUGAAUUCAUCUCCGGGGGUAGAGCACUGUUUCGGCAAGGGGGUCAUCCCGACUUACCAACCCGAUGCAAACUGCGAAUACCGGAGAAUGUUAUCACGGGAGACACACGGCGGGUGCUAACGUCCGUCGUGAAGAGGGAAACAACCCAGACCGCCAGCUAAGGUCCCAAAGUCAUGGUUAAGUGGGAAACGAUGUGGGAAGGCCCAGACAGCCAGGAUGUUGGCUUAGAAGCAGCCAUCAUUUAAAGAAAGCGUAAUAGCUCACUGGUCGAGUCGGCCUGCGCGGAAGAUGUAACGGGGCUAAACCAUGCACCGAAGCUGCGGCAGCGACGCUGAUGCGUUGUUGGGUAGGGGAGCGUUCUGUAAGCCUGCGAAGGUGUGCUGUGAGGCAUGCUGGAGGUAUCAGAAGUGCGAAUGCUGACAUAAGUAACGAUAAAGCGGGUGAAAAGCCCGCUCGCCGGAAGACCAAGGGUUCCUGUCCAACGUUAAUCGGGGCAGGGUGAGUCGACCCCUAAGGCGAGGCCGAAAGGCGUAGUCGAUGGGAAACAGGUUAAUAUUCCUGUACUUGGUGUUACUGCGAAGGGGGGACGGAGAAGGCUAUGUUGGCCGGGCGACGGUUGUCCCGGUUUAAGCGUGUAGGCUGGUUUUCCAGGCAAAUCCGGAAAAUCAAGGCUGAGGCGUGAUGACGAGGCACUACGGUGCUGAAGCAACAAAUGCCCUGCUUCCAGGAAAAGCCUCUAAGCAUCAGGUAACAUCAAAUCGUACCCCAAACCGACACAGGUGGUCAGGUAGAGAAUACCAAGGCGCUUGAGAGAACUCGGGUGAAGGAACUAGGCAAAAUGGUGCCGUAACUUCGGGAGAAGG